AGUGAACGCUGGCGGUAGGCCUAACACAUGCAAGUCGAACGGCAGCACAGGAGAGCUUGCUCUCUGGGUGGCGAGUGGCGGACGGGUGAGGAAUACAUCGGAAUCUACCUUUUUCGUGGGGGAUAACGUAGGGAAACUUACGCUAAUACCGCAUACGACCUACGGGUGAAAGUGGGGACCGGCAAGGCCUCACGCGAUUAGAUGAGCCGAUGUCCGAUUAGCUAGUUGGCGGGGUAAUGGCCCACCAAGGCGACGAUCGGUAGCUGGUCUGAGAGGAUGAUCAGCCACACUGGAACUGAGACACGGUCCAGACUCCUACGGGAGGCAGCAGUGGGGAAUAUUGGACAAUGGGCGCAAGCCUGAUCCAGCCAUACCGCGUGGGUGAAGAAGGCCUCGGUUGUAAGCCUUUGUGGAAUGAAUCUAUCGUAUAACGUGGAUGACGUACCAAGAAUAGCACCGGCUAACUUCGUGCCAGCAGCCGCGGUAAUACGAAGGGUGCAAGCGUUACUCGGAAUUACUGGGCGUAAAGCGUGCGUAGGUGGUGGUUUAAGUCUGCUGUGAAA
This 563-nucleotide ribosomal RNA is filed under the name uncultured bacterium. RNAcentral describes it as "bacterial SSU rRNA". It matches the Rfam family "Bacterial small subunit ribosomal RNA", at positions 28 to 599 of the family's 1533-position model. The record is from RNAcentral.